Molecule: non-coding RNA, 148 nt
Filed under: unclassified sequences
Description: RT-14 RNA
Rfam family: RT-14 RNA
About the family: Cloacimonetes, Firmicutes, Proteobacteria. Nearby to self-splicing intron genes
Source: Rfam by way of RNAcentral
CACAGAGUCCAGUGGGGCAAUAGUUUAAGGACAUUGCCGAGAGAUAUUGUAUCAAAGAAGUUUAAUUCCUGUAACAUAGUGAUUAUGUUAUAAACACAUAAAUAAUGAUUUUGUUUUAGUAGUAAAAUGGCGAAAAUCCGAAAUCAUU